This 163-nucleotide ribosomal RNA is filed under the name uncultured bacterium. RNAcentral describes it as "partial 16S ribosomal RNA". It matches the Rfam family "Bacterial small subunit ribosomal RNA", at positions 355 to 511 of the family's 1533-position model. The record is from RNAcentral.
UAGGGAAUCUUCCACAAUGGGCGAAAGCCUGAUGGAGCAACGCCGCGUGUGUGAUGAAGGCUUUCGGUCGUAAAGCACUGUUGUAUGGGAAGAACAGCUAGAAUAGGAAAUGAUUUUAGUUUGACGGUACCAUACCAGAAAGGGACGGCUAAAUACGUGCCAA